CGUAGGUGGCAAGCGUUGUCCGGAAUUAUUGGGCGUAAAGCGCGCGCAGGCGGUUCCCUAAGUCUGAUGUGAAAGCCCCCGGCUCAACCGGGGAAGGUCAUUGGAAACUGGGGAACUUGAGUGCAGAAGAGAAGAGCGGAAUUCCACGUGUAGCGGUGAAAUGCGUAGAGAUGUGGAGGAACACCAGUGGCGAAGGCGGCUCUUUGGUCUGUAACUGACGCUGAGGCGCGAAAGCGUGGGGAGCAAACAGGAUUAGAUACCCUGGUAGUCCACGCUGUAAACGAUGAGUGCUAAGUGUUAGAGGGUUUCCGCCCUUUAGUGCUGCAGCUAACGCAUUAAGCACUCCGCCUGGGGAGUACGGCCGCAAGGCUG
Molecule: ribosomal RNA, 372 nt
Filed under: uncultured organism
Description: bacterial SSU rRNA
Rfam family: Bacterial small subunit ribosomal RNA
Source: RNAcentral